UCGGGAAUCUUGCACAAUGGGCGAAAGCCUGAUGCAGCAACGCCGUGUGGGCGAGGAAGGCCCUCGGGUCGUAAAGCCCUGUUGUUGGGGACGAAGGGCGAAGGGUUAAUAGCCCCUAGCCUGACGGUACCCUUCGAGGAAGCCCCGGCUAACUACGUGCCAGCAGCCGCGGUAAUACGUAGGGGGCGAGCGUUGUCCGGAAUUAUUGGGCGUAAAGCGUCCGCAGGUGGUUUUUCAACUCCGCUGUCAAAGACAGUAGCUCAACUACUGAAAGGCAGUAGAAACUGAGGAACUAGAGACCGGUAGGGGUAGAGGGAAUUCCCAGUGUAGCGGUGAAAUGCGUAGAGAUUGGGAAGAACACCAGUGGCGAAAGCGCUCUACUGGGCCGGAACUGACACUCACAGGACGAAAGCUAGGGGAGCGAAAGGGAUUAGAUACCCGUGUAGUCC
RNAcentral lists this ribosomal RNA (449 nucleotides) under uncultured prokaryote. RNAcentral describes it as "bacterial SSU rRNA". It matches the Rfam family "Bacterial small subunit ribosomal RNA", at positions 355 to 796 of the family's 1533-position model. The record is from RNAcentral.